AUGCCGACCCAUUGCUGCUGGCGCUCGAGGGUGGGGCUGCUAGGACAGUGCAUGCGUUCCCCGCUGACGAGUCGCUGUGGCCCUACGUCGACCAGCCGCCCCCUGCCUGGCCAGGGCUCACGGAGUGUGAGCUGGGCCUCCAGGCCACCUGGAGCCCUGGGAAGGCCUCGCCCCCACCUGCCGUGGCUGGGCCGCUUGCCCCCUGGCCCAACCUGGGGUACAUGGACCUGCCCCCCCUCCCCCUUGAUCGAGGAGGUGAUUACCCGCAAGCCUGAAGACCGCGUUUGCCUGGAUGACGUGGCAGACCACCUUGCCAGCCGCCUCCAGGGGCUCGAGGUGGACUGCAACGCCAACGGUGCUUCUGCGCUCCUCAGCAAGGUCUUCCUUCCGCCGUCGGCCUCACUGGUGGCGGCGCGCUGCUGUGCUCCUCAGCAAGGUCUUCCUUCCGCCGUCGGCCUCGCUGCUCGGCCCGCCGCCACCGGCCAUCAAGAUGGGCGCUGUCUCCCCCCUGUUGCCCAGGUCGUCGUCCCCAACCCGGUCUCGGCCCCCUCGCUUCAGCGUCGGGCGAGCGCGCGGAUCGCCAAGGGUGCGAUGGGCCUCACUCAGCAGCAGAAGGCACAGGCCAGGCUCGCGCAACAGUUGGAGUUCAUCUCCGGCCCAGAGCAUUUCACGCCGGAGAUCAGGGAGCGCUACACCAACAGGUUCAAGACGCCGCUCGGGAAGCUCACUGCUAAGAUCGCCAGGGCGGCAGGCGUGCACUCCAUGGCCCGCAUCAACCUCCCGGACAAGGACCUCGCGGUGCUGGCCGGCGAGGAGGCCGAUCUGCCCGCCUGA
Molecule: ribosomal RNA, 834 nt
Filed under: Triticum aestivum (bread wheat)
Lineage: Eukaryota; Viridiplantae; Streptophyta; Magnoliopsida; Poales; Poaceae
Description: partial small subunit ribosomal RNA
Source: RNAcentral